AUGGGUGUUUAUGAGAUUGAAUCUUUGUUUAAAGAGUAUGAAAAUCUUGAUGAUGCUGUUUACAGACCUGAAAAUUUUGCUAUACUUAAAUAUUGUUAUGAGAAUUAUGAAUACAAUUCCGAUAUUGGUGCAUUUAUUGAGAAAGUCUCUGUUGUCCAAGAAGAGACUAAUAUUUUUCAGGAGUCUAUGGAAGAAGAAAUUGAUGAAACUGUGGGCUCAUUAGAUGAAAAAGAUGAUGAGGAGAGCGAAGAACAAAAGGAGGAAGAGCGGAUUAGCUACCCGUGCCCACCUUCUAAUGAGAGUAACUCUUCAACUCAUACAUUGUUUAAUUCCCCUUCGUGCUUACCGAAGGAUGAUUGCUAUGAUGAUUGUUAUGAUCCCGUUUAUUCUCUUGAAAUACCCCUUUUUGAUGAUGCUUGCUAUGCUUGUGGCCAAGAUGCCAAUAUGAAUUAUGCUUAUGGAGAUGAACUUGCUAUAGUUCCUUAUGUUAAACAUGAAAUUGUUGCUAUUGCACCCAUGCAUGAUAGUCCUAUUAUCUUUUUGAAUUCUCCCUACUACACUAUAUCGGAGAAGUUUGCCCUUAUUAAGGAUUAUAUUGAUGGGCUGUGUUUUACUACAACACAUGAUGAUUUUGAUAGAUAUAAUAUGCAUGUGAUUGCUGCUCCUACUUGCAAUUAUUAUGAGAGAGGAACUAUAUCUCCACCUCUCUAUGUUUCCCAUAUGAUAAAAUUGCAAGAAACUGCUUAUACUAUGCAUUGGCCUUUACUUGGUGUGCAUGAAUUGUUCGUUUAUGACAUGCCGAUGCAUAGGAAGAGAGUUAGACUUGUUAUUGCUUGA
This 837-nucleotide ribosomal RNA is filed under the name Triticum aestivum (bread wheat). RNAcentral's name for it is "partial small subunit ribosomal RNA". Lineage: Eukaryota; Viridiplantae; Streptophyta; Magnoliopsida; Poales; Poaceae. The record is from RNAcentral.